GCUUGUUACAUGAGAGUAUUCCAGAACCCACCAGGGGCAGCCGGAGCCCCUCCACUGCCUGGGCUGUACACGUUAGAGCGUGCCCUCACCUUUCCUGAGCUGCUGAUGUGCUCAGAUGAGUCACCCCACCACCAGAAGAGCUUGCUCACGUGAACCUCAGCAGUGCCCACACUGUAAGAGAUGUUAUUUUAUGCAAUAUUCUGACAAGUGGGCCUUGACAGUGUAGAGAAGGAGCUGCUUCCGUGGUAUUUGACUGAUUUGCAGUAAAGAGCUCAUCUUUCUAAUCAAAAUCUGGCUUCUGAUUCUUACUCCUGCGGCUGCUGGGGAGACACCAGCCAUCCCACCCGCUCCCCUCAAUCCUAGGGACUGGCAUUUCAGGGUUGUGGAGCACACUUGCCAGCCAAAGCAGCAGGGGACAAGAGCUCAGGAAUCUGGGUGUGGGAUUCAGAGAGGGUAAGCAAGAAGGGUAAGCCCUGGCUCCUGGAUUAAAGGCUCAAGAGACCUGUCUGCUGCUGGCUUUCACCAGAGGUUCCAGGAGAAGCCCCACACUGCCCGUGUAAGAACAGAAGAAGGAAGGAGACUAAUUCCUAGGGAAAGCAGGUGGUGGGAAGACGGGACAGAAAAAGACAACACCCAGGGGUACAUUUCCUGAACUCGAGGACCUUCAGCCAGUGAGUGGGGCUGCUCCUUGGCCAUCGAUGAGCCCGAUUCUCCAGAGACCUAGAGGAAGAAAGGGGAACUGGAUUUGGAGGUUGGGGGAGGCAGGCCCAGAAAAGCGGCCUGACGCUUGAGUUGACACUGCCCAGGGCCUCAGGCUCAGUUUUGCACCUUCAGCACAGGCCUCGGGGGCAGUUUCCCUUUCCUCCCCUCUGUCUGGAGGGGGCGGGAAAACUGGAGCUCUCAUCCCCAGAAAGUGCCUCCUAUCAUGAAAGUAACAACAAAUAAUAAAGGUCAUGCGCACCAUC
Molecule: long non-coding RNA, 965 nt
Organism: Arvicola amphibius (Eurasian water vole)
Lineage: Eukaryota; Metazoa; Chordata; Mammalia; Rodentia; Cricetidae
Exons: 2
Source: RefSeq, a predicted model, not a curated record